This 87-nucleotide ribosomal RNA is filed under the name Bacillus licheniformis. RNAcentral's name for it is "partial 16S ribosomal RNA". It matches the Rfam family "Bacterial small subunit ribosomal RNA", at positions 1 to 84 of the family's 1533-position model. The record is from RNAcentral. Lineage: Bacteria; Bacillati; Bacillota; Bacilli; Caryophanales; Bacillaceae.
CUUCAUGGAGAGUUUGAUCCUGGCUCAGGACGAACGCUGGCGGCGUGCCUAAUACAUGCAAGUCGAGCGGACCGACGGGAGCUUGCU